RNAcentral lists this long non-coding RNA (593 nucleotides) under Strongylocentrotus purpuratus (purple sea urchin). RNAcentral describes it as "uncharacterized LOC115928061, transcript variant X1". The record is from RNAcentral. Lineage: Eukaryota; Metazoa; Echinodermata; Echinoidea; Camarodonta; Strongylocentrotidae.
UUAUUACGUCACUAUGACGAUGACGUAAACAAGAAAAUGCAUAGCAAAAGGAUUUUCUGUUUUCACGAAGUGACGGCCAAGUACGCGCUUAACAGCCGUCAAUUCGUGAAAACAUCGUUUGCUCUUUUCCUGCUUUUAAUAUUUUCACGAAGUGACGGUAGUGAAAAUUUCGCAGUUUGGAACAGUCACAGACCAUGAAAAGUUUCAGAUGCAGUAGAUACAAUUUGCACUUAUAUGAAGGAAGCACUGGGAAAGUACAUCUACUUUUCAAGAAUGCCACAGGCCAGACACAAAUCCAGAUUGGAUACAGGGACCGACAUGCUGGUAAGAUGGGUCCUUGAUAAUUCACUGAACACAGAGCUGCAGAUGUGACUCGGCAUAGUGACCUAAGAGUGGGAGCGGUAUGGAACCGUUGAAGCAAUUCACCGAACACUGUUGAAGCAAUUCACCGAACACAGUCAGAGCUGCAUGUGUGACUUGGCAUGGUGACCCUUAAAGUCUCCUGACGGCUCCGAUUGCGAUUCUGAUGAUGACCCAUUGUCUAUGCUUGUGAGCGAGUCAAAAGUCUAGAUCAAGGAUCUUCUCUGCUUCAC